Molecule: long non-coding RNA, 835 nt
Organism: Panicum virgatum (switchgrass)
Lineage: Eukaryota; Viridiplantae; Streptophyta; Magnoliopsida; Poales; Poaceae
Exons: 5
Source: RefSeq, a predicted model, not a curated record
UUCCUCCGGCAGCACGCGGGCACGAUGCCGCCCGGCUCCACCCCGCUGGCGUUGAGCACAGAGGCACCGCCCCGAACCCCGUCGGACCAUCUCCCCUUGCCUUCACCCGGCAGCACCAGAUGCGACGCGGCAUCUGGCCCGGCCCCUUGACGUCGCGACAUCAGCCCUGUGCCCCCUAUCCCCAUCGCGGCCGCCGCGCGCACGGCGACACACCGCCUCCUCUCCUCCACGCCUUCCGAGGUUUCGCCCUGUGUGCCUCCCGCGGAUUCCCCCGACUCCGCCGGAGAGGGCCCUGCGCUCCCUGCUCGCGUGCCGGAGGUCGGCUGCCUCCUGCGUGUCCUCCUCCUCCUGUGCCAGGAUCCCACGCUCCUCUGCCCCCAGCCGCGCCUGGACCCUUCGUCGGCCUCCUUCCUCGGUACUCCUGUCAGCAUAUAGGGCGUGACUCAUCUGAUGCCCGGCCUGCUCCUGCUUCGUCACUCUGCAAUAAGCCUCUGCCAGGCUAGAAAUGAAGAUUGGACCAUGAUCUUGAUCGACCAGAUCAUGAGAUGGAUUACCUAUUUACCUUAGGGAAUGGAGUACAAAAUUGCUGUUGCUAGAAAGAUGGCUCCUUUUGUUCAGAGUAAUUUGGGAGAUUCAAGAACAGCUGGACUUGAUCAUUUGAAUUUUAUAACAUUUUUUAACUUUAUGUGUGCAAAAGCAUGUGUCGUCCAAUUUUUCUGUAUUUGAGAUUUGUAUUUGGCUGUGUGUCUCACAGUAAGGUGGUAUGAAUGAUAGAUUUGAAGAUUACAUAUUGUUAAUAUUUCUUAUCGUUAAUAUUUCUUUUGUGCUGUUUUAA